Molecule: ribosomal RNA, 329 nt
Filed under: Clostridium botulinum
Lineage: Bacteria; Bacillati; Bacillota; Clostridia; Eubacteriales; Clostridiaceae
Description: bacterial SSU rRNA
Rfam family: Bacterial small subunit ribosomal RNA
Source: RNAcentral
UUUAAAUUUAGAGUUUGAUCCUGGCUCAGGACGAACGCUGGCGGCGUGCUUAACACAUGCAAGUCGAGCGAUGAAGCUUCCUUCGGGAAGUGGAUUAGCGGCGGACGGGUGAGUAACACGUGGGUAACCUGCCUCAAAGUGGGGGAUAGCCUUCCGAAAGGAAGAUUAAUACCGCAUAAUAUAAGAGAAUCGCAUGAUUUUUUUAUCAAAGAUUUAUUGCUUUGAGAUGGACCCGCGGCGCAUUAGCUAGUUGGUAAGGUAACGGCUUACCAAGGCAACGAUGCGUAGCCGACCUGAGAGGGUGAUCGGCCACAUUGGAACUGAGACAC